This is a long non-coding RNA of Toxotes jaculatrix (banded archerfish), 327 nucleotides long. RefSeq lists it as uncharacterized. The transcript is spliced from 3 exons. The record is from RefSeq and is a predicted model, not a curated record. Lineage: Eukaryota; Metazoa; Chordata; Actinopteri; Toxotidae.
GGAGGAGGAAAACUGAAGGCUGAGGCAGGUCUUGUAUGUGAGUCUUGAUCAGACUUGUCUGUCCUGGCUCUUUGUGUGUCUGAGCUCAGUCUGUUUUACUGGUUACUUUCUCAGACUGACUGAAGUCCAGAAGAUGAGUGUUUGUGUGGAGGAAGAGGAGGACAGAGCUGAGUCUCCACGAUCCAGCUGUCUGUCUAUGAAGAGUGACUGGUCCAAAGACUUUGAUCAUCCAGCCUUCAGCCAUGAACCUGGACCCUCAGACACAAAAGGUCAGGACCACAGACUGAGAGCAGAGUCUCCAGGAUCCAGCUGUCUGUCUAUGAAGAG